GAUGAACGCUGGCGGCGUGCCUAAUACAUGCAAGUCGAGCGAACAGACGAGGAGCUUGCUCCUCUGACGUUAGCGGCGGAAGGGUGAGUAACACGUGGAUAACCUACCUAUAAGACUGGGAUAACUUCGGGAAACCGGAGCUAAUACCGGAUAAUAUAUUGAACCGCAUGGUUCAAUAGUGAAAGACGGUUUUGCUGUCACUUAUAGAUUGAUCCGCGCCGCAUUAGCUAGUUGGUGAGGUAACGGCUUACCAAGGCAACGAUGCGUAGCCUACCUGAGAGGGUGAGCGGCCAACCUGGAACUGAGACACGGUCCAGACUCCUACGGGAGGCAGCAGUAGGGAAUCUUCCGCAAUGGGCGAAAGCCUGACGGAGCAACGCCGCGUGAGUGAUGAAGGUCUUCGGAUCGUAAAACUCUGUUAUUAGGGAAGAACAAAUGUGUAAGUAACUAUGCACGUCUUGACGGUACCUAAUCAGAAAGCCACGGCUAACUACGUG
RNAcentral lists this ribosomal RNA (497 nucleotides) under uncultured bacterium. RNAcentral's name for it is "partial 16S ribosomal RNA". It matches the Rfam family "Bacterial small subunit ribosomal RNA", at positions 28 to 507 of the family's 1533-position model. The record is from RNAcentral.